This is a non-coding RNA of Mycena latifolia, 93 nucleotides long. The record is from the annotation of a GenBank genome assembly. NCBI's taxonomy places the organism in Eukaryota, Fungi, Basidiomycota, Agaricomycetes, Agaricales, Mycenaceae.
GGCCUGGUGGUGUAGCGGUAACACACCUGUUUGCAGUUCACCUUCUUGCAUUGAUUUCAGCAGGAAUCCCUUGUUUAAGUCAAGGCUAGGCCC